Molecule: long non-coding RNA, 314 nt
Organism: Leptinotarsa decemlineata (Colorado potato beetle)
Lineage: Eukaryota; Metazoa; Arthropoda; Insecta; Coleoptera; Chrysomelidae
Source: RefSeq, a predicted model, not a curated record
AAAAAGUAGCAACCGGCAUGAUAAAUUUGGUUAGCUUUUAGUAUUUAUUGUGUGGUAAUAUUUUGGAAUAAUCAUUUUCAGGGAUUCCUACAGAGCUAGACUUCACACCCCAUCGUAUGGUAAACACGAUCUUGACAGGUCUAAUCAGAUGAACGCUAAUAAUCCCGCUUAUGCCAGUUCCAGAGGAAUGUUCAAGAGAUCCGAUCAGACCAACUAAGUAUCCUAUAUGGCAAAAUAAUCUUACACAAAUACUUCAUGAUAACAGUUGAAUGAAAUAUUAUUGUAUUGUUCUAAUUAUAGGUGAUUAACUGAAA